CUGGUUUCAAAUGAGCGGCAGCUGCUGCUGUGAUCCGGACACUCUUUCCUGUUGUCAUACCAGCGUGACGCUGGUCGGGUUGGGUGGUUAAUAUCAGAAGUAUUCACUUAGGACAUCAGCUGCAGGCUAAUCCUGCUUUACAUAUACACAAGGCCAUGUGUGCAAUAAUUAAUACCAUGGCCAUAUUAUUAAAAAAUCCUUAUAACGUUCAAACCUUUUCAUUGUAUGGCAUAUAUUGUUUCGUUUAGUUCAUGCUUAUUUUCACAUGCAUCAACCCUUCACUCACAUAUUAACCCUUCAUUGACUGUCCUUUUGUGACUGAUAAACUUUUCCUGCUACCUGCAGGGAUAUGCACAUGACCAGCCCAAUAUAGGCGAGACCCUGUGGCAUUCACUAGCUGUGGACAUCUUGUGGUUGUUUAUUCUGAUUGGAUAUCGCUCUUUCCCCUGAGGAAGCGGAAGACCGCGAAACAUGUAGGGUUUAUGCGAUUUCUUUUCAAGUGCAUCUCUAUUUCAACUGAAUGAUGUUCCUUGUUACCCACAGAAUCAAUUCAACAACUGAUUGUCCCCCUCUUUUUAAGAAUUAUUUGUAUUUUUGUAUAAAUCUAUGUAAUAAUGAAUAAAGUACUUUUUGUCAUUUUAGAACAAAGAAAGUGUGCUUUCUCAUCACUAUCACCUUUUCAAAAAUACGCACCGCAAAUUAUCCCCUUUUUCUUCUCCUCUCCUAAAAUUUACAUAUACCUAUUUACUGGGUCUCAUCUCCAUACAGGGUAACAAAUGCCUCUUUAUUAUCCCCAGCUACUACUUGGGUUAAGGGAUUUUACUAUAACCCAAUUACUACUUAGCCAUUUAGGUUUCACUAAUGUUAUUAAUUAUCUAAUUUAGAUGAGAGCCCCAGUCACCUGCCAGUUGAACAUACAUUCAUCUGUGAUACAUGUUUAUGCUCUUGGUUUUCCCACUGACCCUACCUCAGUUCCCGGUUGCAGACAACCCUAGCGACCCGUGCAUUUCUAGUCGCACAUCCUCACAUGCUGGAAAUUAGUACGUUUUUUGGAGAUGGCCCCUUUUUCCAUCUCUCUUAUUGUUUCCCAUUAUUUAGGUGUUAUUCUAAAAGUUACAUAUUAUACUCGUGUCCUUCUGCAGAUCUUACUCCACUACGCAUCCGCCCCUGAAGAUUGGCUAUAAUGCCAUGAAAGGCGUCCCGGGCUUACACAGAUGCUACAUGUUUCAGUUUUAGGACCUACCUUUGGUUUAAUGAUUCUAUAUUUUUAAAUAAUGCGAGGAAUAAGUUGUUAUACAAUGUUUAUGGUUUUUGCAUCAUGCUUUUUAUAUGCACUGUCAUGUAUGUUUACUAUUAUGUAUACAUUCGAAAUCGCAUGCUCUGCUAUGUGUUUUAGACAAAUAAACGCAUCCAUAUUA
Long non-coding RNA from Rana temporaria (common frog), 1418 nucleotides. RefSeq lists it as uncharacterized. Lineage: Eukaryota; Metazoa; Chordata; Amphibia; Anura; Ranidae. The transcript is spliced from 2 exons. The record is from RefSeq and is a predicted model, not a curated record.